This 447-nucleotide ribosomal RNA is filed under the name uncultured bacterium. RNAcentral's name for it is "partial 16S ribosomal RNA". It matches the Rfam family "Bacterial small subunit ribosomal RNA", at positions 29 to 523 of the family's 1533-position model. The record is from RNAcentral.
AGCGAACGCUGGCGGCAGGCCUAAUACAUGCAAGUCGAACGGCUCUUCGGAGCAGUGGCGGACGGGUGAGUAACGCGUGGGAAUCUACCCAGAUCUUCGGAACAACUGAGGGAAACUUCAGCUAAUACCGGAUACGCCCUACGGGGGAAAGAUUUAUCGGUUCUGGAUGAGCCCGCGUUGGAUUAGCUAGUUGGUGAGGUAACGGCUCACCAAGGCGACGAUCCAUAGCUGGUCUGGGAGGAUGAUCAGCCACACUGGGACUGAGACACGGCCCAGACUCCUACGGGAGGCAGCAGUGGGGAAUAUUGGACAAUGGGCGAAAGCCUGAUCCAGCCAUGCCGCGUGAGUGAUGAAGGCCUUAGGGUUGUAAAGCUCUUUCAGUGGGGAAGAUAAUGACGGUACCCACAGAAGAAGCCCCGGCUAACUUCGUGCCAGCCGCCGCCGUAA